UCGUCUUUUGCUUUUUUAAUAUAAAAGAUAAUGCCUGCCCAGUGAACUACAAUAUUUUUAACGGCCGCGUUAGCGUGAGCGUGCUAAGGUAGCGUAAUAAAUAGCCUUUUAAUUGAAGGCCAGUGAAUGGCAAGACUAGGAAUACCUCUACCAGAUAUGGCAAAAAAACUUUUCAUCUGAGUGAAAAGACUCAGAUACUUAAGGAAGACGAAAAGACCCCGCGGAGCUUAACUUAAUAAAUUUUAUAAUAAAACAAUAAAAUUUUAAAAGUUUGAUUGGGGCAAUCUUGGAACAAAAAUAACUUCCAAUCUAAUAAACAAAAACAUAAAAAGCUUACUAAGAACUAUAAAGCAGCUACCCCGGGGAUAACAGCGUUAUCCAGCUUGAGAGUACAUAUCGAAAGCCGGGUUUGCGACCUCGAUGUUGGCUUAAGGGUAUCCACAUUAGUGCAGCCGCUAUGAAAGGAUAGUCUGUUCGACUAUUGCACCCUUA
This 492-nucleotide ribosomal RNA is filed under the name Indochinella pugio. Its description in RNAcentral is "partial 16S ribosomal RNA". It matches the Rfam family "Bacterial large subunit ribosomal RNA", at positions 1816 to 2598 of the family's 2925-position model. Lineage: Eukaryota; Metazoa; Mollusca; Bivalvia; Unionida; Unionidae. RNAcentral also lists the same sequence under 1 other name. The record is from RNAcentral.